RNAcentral lists this ribosomal RNA (612 nucleotides) under Ips cembrae. RNAcentral's name for it is "eukaryotic LSU rRNA". It matches the Rfam family "Eukaryotic large subunit ribosomal RNA", at positions 572 to 808 of the family's 3401-position model. The record is from RNAcentral. Lineage: Eukaryota; Metazoa; Arthropoda; Insecta; Coleoptera; Curculionidae.
AAAGGUCGAAGGAAGAAAUUCAUUCGCGUUUCGACGCAGGCGUCGGACGGUCGCGUGACGCGAAACGUUCGCGUUUUGCGCACCCUCCGUUCGUCGAACCGGCGACGAACGCGUGCACUUUUCUUCUGGUAGGACGUCGCGAUCCGUUGGGCGUCAGUCUACGACGUGCGAUGGAGCCCGUCGGUCGCGUUUCGGCGCGACUAACGAACUCGCACGAUCCGGCUGACACGCUCGACGGUAUACGAAAGGUUUGAGGCCGCUCUAGCGAGCGUUCGACUCUCGGCAAGCGCGCCAGACGCGUCGGCAAUCGGACCUAGUGCCGAUUCCGACCUCUGGUGACUGUUGGCCGUUGAUGUUCUCGGACAGACCUCACGACCGAUCUGCGACGCUAUAGCUUUGGGUACUUUCAGGACCCGUCUUGAAACACGGACCAAGGAGUCUAGCAUGUGCGCGAGUCAUUGGGAAUCACUAAACCUAAAGGCGUAAUGAAAGUGAAGGUCUUCCUUGCGGAGACCGAGGGAAGACGGGCGGUUCGCCGUUAAAAGCGGCCGUUCAGCAUUCCCGGGGCGUCUCAUUCUCAUCGCGAGAAGAGGCGCACCAAGAGCGUACACG